RNAcentral lists this ribosomal RNA (460 nucleotides) under uncultured bacterium. RNAcentral describes it as "partial 16S ribosomal RNA". It matches the Rfam family "Bacterial small subunit ribosomal RNA", at positions 338 to 795 of the family's 1533-position model. The record is from RNAcentral.
CCUACGGGUGGCAGCAGUGAGGAAUAUUGGUCAAUGGACGAGAGUCUGAACCAGCCAAGUAGCGUGAAGGAUGACUGCCCUAUGGGUUGUAAACUUCUUUUCUAUGGGCAUAACAUGUUCCCCGUGUGGGAUUUUGUGUGUACCAUAUGAAUAAGGAUCGGCUAACUCCGUGCCAGCAGCCGCGGUAAUGCGGCGGGUCCGCGCGUUAUCCGGAUUUAUUGGGUUUAAAGGGAGCGUAGGUGGAUUGUUAAGUCAGUUGUGAAAGUUUGCGGCUCAACCGGAAAAUUGCAGUUGAAACUGGCAGUCUUGAGUACAGUAGAGGUGGGCGGAAUUCGUGGUGUAGCGGUGAAAUGCUCAGAUAUCACGAAGAACUCCGAUUGCGAAGGCAGCUCACUGGACUGCAACUGACACUGAGGCGCGAAAGUGUGGGUAUCAAACAGGAUUAGAUACCCUUGUAGUC